Molecule: ribosomal RNA, 233 nt
Filed under: uncultured bacterium
Lineage: Bacteria
Description: partial 16S ribosomal RNA
Rfam family: Bacterial small subunit ribosomal RNA
Source: RNAcentral
UGAGUAACCUGCCCUUCACUCUGGGAUAACUCCAGGAAACCGGGGCUAAUACUGGAUAUGACUCGAACAGGCAUCUGUUUCGGGUGGAAAGAUUUAUUGGUGGAGGAUGGACUCGCGGCCUAUCAGCUUGUAGGUGAGGUAAUGGCUCACCAAGGCGACGACGGGUAGCCGGCCCGAGAGGGCGAUCGGCCACACUGGGACUGAGACACGGCCCAGACCUCCGUACGGGAGCA